This 429-nucleotide ribosomal RNA is filed under the name Chloroflexota bacterium. Its description in RNAcentral is "Chloroflexi bacterium partial 16S ribosomal RNA". It matches the Rfam family "Bacterial small subunit ribosomal RNA", at positions 355 to 776 of the family's 1533-position model. The record is from RNAcentral. Lineage: Bacteria; Bacillati; Chloroflexota.
UGGGGAAUAUUGCACAAUGGGCGCAAGCCUGAUGCAGCCAUGCCGCGUGUGUGAAGAAGGCCUUCGGGUUGUAAAGCACUUUCAGCGGGGAGGAAGGGAGUAAAGUUAAUACCUUUGCUCAUUGACGUUACCCGCAGAAGAAGCACCGGCUAACUCCGUGCCAGCAGCCGCGGUAAUACGGAGGGUGCAAGCGUUAAUCGGAAUUACUGGGCGUAAAGCGCACGCAGGCGGUUUGUUAAGUCAGAUGUGAAAUCCCCGGGCUCAACCUGGGAACUGCAUCUGAUACUGGCAAGCUUGAGUCUUGUAGAGGGGGGUAGAAUUCCAGGUGUAGCGGUGAAAUGCGUAGAGAUCUGGAGGAAUACCGGUGGCGAAGGCGGCCCCCUGGACAAAGACUGACGCUCAGGUGCGAAAGCGUGGGGAGCAAACAGG